GCCGGGGAGCUCGCCUGGGGGCGAGAGCGGUCCUACACACCGCCCACGGAGGGUUCGAUUCCCUCACCCGGUA
Molecule: transfer RNA, 73 nt
Filed under: Myxococcales bacterium
Lineage: Bacteria; Pseudomonadati; Myxococcota; Myxococcia; Myxococcales
Also listed under: 1 other name
Description: tRNA-Val
Source: RNAcentral